Long non-coding RNA from Ipomoea nil (Japanese morning glory), 230 nucleotides. RefSeq lists it as uncharacterized. Lineage: Eukaryota; Viridiplantae; Streptophyta; Magnoliopsida; Solanales; Convolvulaceae. The transcript is spliced from 3 exons. The record is from RefSeq and is a predicted model, not a curated record.
UUCUGCAAUUUCUCUCGCCGCCUCCUUUCCCCACUAUCUCUCCAUUCUCCAUUGGAAACAACUCUUCUUGUUCUACUAGCUCCCACGCUUAUAUGAAUCAAGAAAACAAAGAAAAUACAACAGAGGGCGUGUUGAGUUUAUUGGUUUCUGGGGUUUGUGUAAAAGCUUCGUUCUAUCAUUUUACCUCUUUGUUUUUUUGUUUUGUAGUGUGUUUGUUUGUUUUUGUAAUG